AGAGUUUGAUCAUGGCUCAGAGCGAACGGCGGCGUUAACACAUGCAAGUCGAGUGCGCGUCCGUAGCAAUACGGAUGGCGCACGGCGCACGGGUGCGUAACACGUGGGCAUCUGCCCUCGGAUGGGGGAACUCGCCGAAAGGCGAGCUAAUACCGCAUGACAUUCCUGGGACUCCGGUCCCGGGACUCAAAGGCCGCAAGGCCGUCUGAGGAGGAGCCCGCGCCCGAUUAGCUAGUUGGUGAGGUAACGGCUCACCAAGGCUUUGAUCGGUAGCCGGUCUGAGAGGAUGGCCGGCCACACUGGAACUGAGACACGGUCCAGACUCCUACGGGAGGCAGCAGUGGGGAAUAUUGCGCAAUGGGCGAAAGCCUGACGCAGCGACGCCGCGUGGGGGAUGAAGCUUCUCGGAGUGUAAACCCCUUUCGACCCGGACGAAUGACCCGCAAGGGUUUGACGGUACGGGUAUAAGAAGCCCCGGCUAACUACGUGCCAGCAGCCGCGGUAAUACGUAGGGGGCCAGCGUUGCUCGGAAUUACUGGGCGUAAAGGGUUCGUAGGUGGUGCGGCAAGUUGGAAGUGAAAUCUCUGGGCUUAACCCAGAGGCUGCUUUCAAACUGCCGUGCUCGAGUGCGAGAGAGGUCAGUGGAAUUGCAGGUGUAGCGGUGAAAUGCGUAGAUAUCUGCAGGAACACCCGUGGCGAAGGCGGCUGACUGGAUCGCAACUGACACUGAGGAACGAAAGCUAGGGGAGCAAACAGGAUUAGAUACCCUAGUAGUCC
RNAcentral lists this ribosomal RNA (777 nucleotides) under uncultured bacterium. RNAcentral's name for it is "bacterial SSU rRNA". It matches the Rfam family "Bacterial small subunit ribosomal RNA", at positions 8 to 796 of the family's 1533-position model. The record is from RNAcentral.